AAGAGCAAAACUCGAGUACCUCUGAGGGAAAGCCGGACCCCUUUUCCAUCCUCUCCUGUAAAUCACUGUGUUUUCAGCUCAGCGGCCCUGUGACAUUCCUUCGUGUUGUCAUUUGUUGAGUGACCAAUCAGAUGGGUGGAGUGUGUUACAGAAAUUGGCAGCAAGUAUCCAAUGGGUGAAGAAGAAGCUAACUGGGGACGUGGGCAGCCCUGACGUGAUGAGCUCAACCAGCAGAGACAUUCCAUCCCAAGAGAGGUCUGCGUGACACGUCGGGGAGGCCACCCUCAGCAAGACCACCGUACGGUUGGUGGAAGGGGUGACAGCUGCAUUCUCCUGUGCCUACCACGUAACCAAAAAUGAAGGAGAACUACUGUUUACAAGCCGCCCUGGUGUGCCUGGGCAUGCUGUGCCACAGCCAGGCCUUUGCCCCAGAGCGGCGGGGGCACCUGCGGCCCUCCUUCCAUGGGCACCAUGAGAAGGGCAAGGAGGGGCAGGUGCUACAGCGCUCCAAGCGUGGCUGGGUCUGGAACCAGUUCUUCGUGAUAGAGGAGUACACCGGGCCUGACCCCGUGCUUGUGGGCAGG
This 584-nucleotide small RNA is filed under the name Pan troglodytes (chimpanzee). RNAcentral's name for it is "processed transcript". Lineage: Eukaryota; Metazoa; Chordata; Mammalia; Primates; Hominidae. The record is from RNAcentral.